This 2900-nucleotide ribosomal RNA is filed under the name Klebsiella pneumoniae UCI 68. RNAcentral's name for it is "bacterial LSU rRNA". It matches the Rfam family "Bacterial large subunit ribosomal RNA". Lineage: Bacteria; Pseudomonadati; Pseudomonadota; Gammaproteobacteria; Enterobacterales; Enterobacteriaceae. The record is from RNAcentral.
UUAAGCGACUAAGCGUACACGGUGGAUGCCCUGGCAGUCAGAGGCGAUGAAGGACGUGCUAAUCUGCGAAAAGCGUCGGUAAGGUGAUAUGAACCGUUAUAACCGGCGAUGUCCGAAUGGGGAAACCCAGUGCAAUUCGUUGCACUAUCGUUAACUGAAUACAUAGGUUAACGAGGCGAACCGGGGGAACUGAAACAUCUAAGUACCCCGAGGAAAAGAAAUCAACCGAGAUUCCCCCAGUAGCGGCGAGCGAACGGGGAGCAGCCCAGAGUCUGAAUCAGCUUGUGUGUUAGUGGAACGGUCUGGAAAGUCCGACGGUACAGGGUGAUAGUCCCGUACACCAAAAUGCACAGGCUGUGAACUCGAAGAGUAGGGCGGGACACGUGGUAUCCUGUCUGAAUAUGGGGGGACCAUCCUCCAAGGCUAAAUACUCCUGACUGACCGAUAGUGAACCAGUACCGUGAGGGAAAGGCGAAAAGAACCCCGGCGAGGGGAGUGAAAAAGAACCUGAAACCGUGUACGUACAAGCAGUGGGAGCACCUUCGGGUGUGACUGCGUACCUUUUGUAUAAUGGGUCAGCGACUUAUAUUCUGUAGCAAGGUUAACCGUAUAGGGGAGCCGCAGGGAAACCGAGUCUUAACUGGGCGUUAAGUUGCAGGGUAUAGACCCGAAACCCGGUGAUCUAGCCAUGGGCAGGUUGAAGGUUGGGUAACACUAACUGGAGGACCGAACCGACUAAUGUUGAAAAAUUAGCGGAUGACUUGUGGCUGGGGGUGAAAGGCCAAUCAAACCGGGAGAUAGCUGGUUCUCCCCGAAAGCUAUUUAGGUAGCGCCUCGUGAAUUCAUCUUCGGGGGUAGAGCACUGUUUCGGCUAGGGGGUCAUCCCGACUUACCAACCCGAUGCAAACUACGAAUACCGAAGAAUGUUAUCACGGGAGACACACGGCGGGUGCUAACGUCCGUCGUGAAGAGGGAAACAACCCAGACCGCCAGCUAAGGUCCCAAAGUCAUGGUUAAGUGGGAAACGAUGUGGGAAGGCACAGACAGCCAGGAUGUUGGCUUAGAAGCAGCCAUCAUUUAAAGAAAGCGUAAUAGCUCACUGGUCGAGUCGGCCUGCGCGGAAGAUGUAACGGGGCUAAACCAUGCACCGAAGCUGCGGCAGCGACACUAUGUGUUGUUGGGUAGGGGAGCGUUCUGUAAGCCUGCGAAGGUGACCUGUGAGGGUUGCUGGAGGUAUCAGAAGUGCGAAUGCUGACAUAAGUAACGAUAAAGCGGGUGAAAAGCCCGCUCGCCGGAAGACCAAGGGUUCCUGUCCAACGUUAAUCGGGGCAGGGUGAGUCGACCCCUAAGGCGAGGCCGAAAGGCGUAGUCGAUGGGAAACAGGUUAAUAUUCCUGUACUUGGUGUUACUGCGAAGGGGGGACGGAGAAGGCUAUGUUAGCCGGGCGACGGUUGUCCCGGUUUAAGCAUGUAGGCUGGUUGUCCAGGCAAAUCCGGAUAAUCAAGGCUGAGGUGUGAUGACGAGGCACUACGGUGCUGAAGUAACAAAUGCCCUGCUUCCAGGAAAAGCCUCUAAGCAUCAGGUAACAUUAAAUCGUACCCCAAACCGACACAGGUGGUCAGGUAGAGAAUACCAAGGCGCUUGAGAGAACUCGGGUGAAGGAACUAGGCAAAAUGGUGCCGUAACUUCGGGAGAAGGCACGCUGGUGUGUAGGUGAAGCCCCUGCGGGUGGAGCUGAGACCAGUCGAAGAUACCAGCUGGCUGCAACUGUUUAUUAAAAACACAGCACUGUGCAAACACGAAAGUGGACGUAUACGGUGUGACGCCUGCCCGGUGCCGGAAGGUUAAUUGAUGGGGUUAUCCGUAAGGAGAAGCUCUUGAUCGAAGCCCCGGUAAACGGCGGCCGUAACUAUAACGGUCCUAAGGUAGCGAAAUUCCUUGUCGGGUAAGUUCCGACCUGCACGAAUGGCGUAAUGAUGGCCAGGCUGUCUCCACCCGAGACUCAGUGAAAUUGAACUCGCUGUGAAGAUGCAGUGUACCCGCGGCAAGACGGAAAGACCCCGUGAACCUUUACUAUAGCUUGACACUGAACAUUGAGCCUUGAUGUGUAGGAUAGGUGGGAGGCUUUGAAGCGUGGACGCCAGUCUGCGUGGAGCCAACCUUGAAAUACCACCCUUUAAUGUUUGAUGUUCUAACGUUGGCCCCUUACCGGGGUUGCGGACAGUGUCUGGUGGGUAGUUUGACUGGGGCGGUCUCCUCCCAAAGCGUAACGGAGGAGCACGAAGGUUAGCUAAUCCUGGUCGGACAUCAGGAGGUUAGUGCAAUGGCAUAAGCUAGCUUGACUGCGAGCGUGACGGCGCGAGCAGGUGCGAAAGCAGGUCAUAGUGAUCCGGUGGUUCUGAAUGGAAGGGCCAUCGCUCAACGGAUAAAAGGUACUCCGGGGAUAACAGGCUGAUACCGCCCAAGAGUUCAUAUCGACGGCGGUGUUUGGCACCUCGAUGUCGGCUCAUCACAUCCUGGGGCUGAAGUAGGUCCCAAGGGUAUGGCUGUUCGCCAUUUAAAGUGGUACGCGAGCUGGGUUUAGAACGUCGUGAGACAGUUCGGUCCCUAUCUGCCGUGGGCGCUGGAGAAUUGAGGGGGGCUGCUCCUAGUACGAGAGGACCGGAGUGGACGCAUCACUGGUGUUCGGGUUGUCAUGCCAAUGGCACUGCCCGGUAGCUAAAUGCGGAAGAGAUAAGUGCUGAAAGCAUCUAAGCACGAAACUUGCCCCGAGAUGAGUUCUCCCUGAGACUUUAAGUCUCCUGAAGGAACGUUAAAGACGAUGACGUUGAUAGGCCGGGUGUGUAAGCGCAGCGAUGCGUUGAGCUAACCGGUACUAAUGAACCGUGAGGCUUAACCUU